Pieris napi is the source of this 1850-nucleotide long non-coding RNA. RefSeq lists it as uncharacterized. The transcript has 2 exons. The record is from RefSeq and is a predicted model, not a curated record. NCBI's taxonomy places the organism in Eukaryota, Metazoa, Arthropoda, Insecta, Lepidoptera, Pieridae.
AUGGUCUAAUUGAAAUAAACGAUUUGACUUGACUUGACAUCAAGCACGCCAGCAAGAUCAGAGUUCUCUUUUAAUGCACAUGGAAUACAGAGUACUUUUACCAUGACUGGGUCGUGGCAGAGCGGCACAAACUUAUUCCGUCUGUAUACGCCGGUGUCAACGUGGAUCCUGACGGUUUCGGUAAGGGAGUCGCUUACCAAGGUCUGGAGUGAAAUGAAAAUUGACAGCUACGAUGUUUCGGCGGAAUUUAGAAAGCCUGAAGAUAGCUUACAGGAUCCAGCAGAACCUAAUGUGACGUGGUAUAGCGCUCAUGUCUGUGAAUCCCAAUACUUAUUGCAAGUGAUAAAAUGCGUGGACGAAUCUUGCUGUUCCCGCUCGAGGAGUGCGUUAAAAUCUGUCUUUCCGGAUACUUUCUUGCCAAUCCUUCAAACCCCAAGCAACUCGUGGUACCUAGUCAGCUAGACAAAGGCAUGGCAAGACUGCCCUGACUGCUUGAUAAUGCUACUACUUGACUGCUGGGGCAAUCAAACUUCUUGACACAACAGGAAUAAGACGCCUAAAGAGUACUAACCUUUUGAAAUAAAAACCUAGUGUUCACUACACUACAUUUUUUAACUAUAAGUACAAAAUAUAAGUGCAAGUGCGGUAAACGAACAUAGUGUCAAAACAUUAUAGAACUCUAAGACUGUUAAUAAACAUUAUCUUAGUUGAAGCUAUUUAUUAGAAUUAUAGAGUCAACGUAAUAUUAUUUAUUAGCCAGAAUUAUUGUAUAGGCUAGAUUGUUAUUCAUGUAAAGUCGCACUUUUUUUUGUGUGUCGCAAAAGUGCAAAAUAACAAAAAUACCUUUUAAUAUAGUCCAGCUUAGCUUUAAUUCCAAGGAUAGCGAAUAUUCAUAUUUUAAGCUACGCGAUUAUACGAUUACACACUCACAAAAUGCAUGCAAUCACGUCGUCGCUGCUACGAAUCUACUGACGCAUCACGCACCAUGACGCAUCGCAUCCCUCGUAAACAGCUACGAAACAUUCAAGGUCUUUGAUUUAUACGAUUUUCAGGUUAAGGGCUUUUCUUGGCAGUAUUACUUGAACAAUGAUAACCUCACGUUAUAGCUCGAAGAUGGUCCUUGUUAACGAUUGUGAACUUGAUUCUGUAAAGAUACAGUUUAGUUUUCACAUUAUACAAAAGUUUUGUUAUCAAAACUAAAUUUGGUAUCGAGACUUAUAACACUAUUCUAUAAUUUUAAUUUGUAAAGCCAGAAAAGGGAGACGUUUAUAAAAUAUUAGCAUUGCCUAUCGUGAUCAUAUUCCUCAAAUUUUGCGUAAUUGAUACAAUUAUUAGUUAUUUUUCAUAAUUGUAGUUAGUUGUUUUAUUUCCUUUAAUAUAAAUAAUUAUGAGUUUCGCACUUCUUGCACUUCCUCACAAUUUCUUUUUCAUGCAGGUUUCAUAGAAGGCAACAACGAUAUAAUUAUUUCUUUAAAGUGCAGUGAGUUAAUCUUGUUAUUUUACAAAUGCAAUGCAAUGUUAUUAUAAUACUCUUUUUUGUGCUUUACUGUAAUUCCUUUUUUUUAUGUAAUUACUACUAAUUCUUCUCUAAUUUUAUUUUAAAUUAAAUUCUCUAAUGUUUUAUUCAAAUAAUAUGGAAUAUUUCUGUCAGUCAGAGGGUCCUUGACAAAUACUUCUUUUUAAUAGAAUAUACGUAUAAUACUAUCUACGGUAUAAUAUAAUAUAAUUUUAAAAAAGUGACGGAAUAAGGAUGGCUACAUUCCUGUGGAAAAAAGAACAAAUAUAUUUCUUAUCUAAUUUUGCUGCUUUCAAUGAAAUUGUAAGCAAGAUAAAGACUAAUUUAAUUAUUA